Molecule: transfer RNA, 25 nt
Filed under: Trochulus hispidus complex sp. 159 LK-2014
Lineage: Eukaryota; Metazoa; Mollusca; Gastropoda; Stylommatophora; Hygromiidae
Description: partial tRNA-Met
Source: RNAcentral
CCACACAUGGUCUAUCCUUUAAGGA